UGGUUGUUACUUCUAAUGUGCAAAAAAUUGAGGAUAUUAGAUUGUGUCUUCUGUUUGUUUUUCAGAGAGAAUGUCAAGGUUCGUCCAAAGGUCUGCAUUUAGCUUCACCAGUGCAAGAACUGAUUGGUACAGCUAAAUCUUUUGGAGGUGAAGAAAGUGAUACCGAUACAGUUUCAGUAAGAAGAAAAUUUCAAGACAUUCACUUACAGAAUGUGUAUGUACGUGAUGGGAAAAUACAAGAGAAAGUAAAAGUGGAUGUGAUAGAUCAAGACAAUGUUAGAAAAA
Long non-coding RNA from Columba livia (rock pigeon), 285 nucleotides. RefSeq lists it as uncharacterized. The record is from RefSeq and is a predicted model, not a curated record. The transcript has 3 exons. Lineage: Eukaryota; Metazoa; Chordata; Aves; Columbiformes; Columbidae.